This is a long non-coding RNA of Larimichthys crocea (large yellow croaker), 1077 nucleotides long. RefSeq lists it as uncharacterized. NCBI's taxonomy places the organism in Eukaryota, Metazoa, Chordata, Actinopteri, Sciaenidae. The transcript is spliced from 3 exons. The record is from RefSeq and is a predicted model, not a curated record.
ACAGCAAACAGUUGAGUGGUAGAUGUGCAAAAACAUGCUGCACAUUGGGUCAGUAGCUAUAACACUCCUUUACAGAGCCCACAACAAUCCCAGCAUCAGUCUGAAGUUGAGCUCAGUCUUGGAUCUUUAUGUGGAAGUCAAGGUAGCACUAGGACCCAGGCAAAGGGGCGGGACGCUCACCUGUGCUUUUCUUCCUGCAUUGAAACACACCUGGGAGAGCAGCUGAGGCCAGCCUGUGUGUGGAGUUUGAUGAGGACUAAAGCUUGGAGUGAUUACGACACAUCAGCCAAAAACAGAUUCCAGUCACCUGCAUGUCUCCAACUGGAGAAGGGCUUGUUCCACUUUAGCCAGUAACAUUAUUGACUUUCACAUUGCACAUGUCUUAUAAUAUUGUUUCUUGUAAAGUUUUCUUUGGUAUAUUAAUGUGCUUCUGUUUCUUUUAGUUUUUCAACAAAGCCACUUUUAGAGGAGCAAACCACAGUUUUUUCUCUGAUUUAUUAGAUUUUAGUUUGCCUUUAAUUCAUCACUUGAAUUAUGAGUUGUGUGAAGUUGUCUGCUGUAUUAAAAUAGGGGCCGAGUGGUAGUUGAGCCAUCUUGCAUGUGUGCUUUAUUGUGUGCUUUAAGUCAGCUUACCUUGCUGUUAGUGUGUAAUUCAUUGUUGGAGAACAGUUUUGAUUUGAUUCAAAUUGGUUUGUGUGUCAUGGUGGUUUAGUCAUAAUUUUUGUGACGAUAUCCUCUUUUCAUGCAUAACUCCACACUAGCCCCCCCUGACCGUUCAGUCUAGUCCCAUGUUGUUUAUUCUCUUUUUGUUCAUUUCAUGGUUGAUUUGAUUUCUGUAUUCAUUAGAUCAUUUACUGCCCCUAGUGGAAUGGAGACCAGUAUUUCAUUGAAUGCCUUGUAAAUAAAAUCUAUAUUUUUGUACAGCAGUCUCUGGUUCCAGUUGAUUGUGGGUCUUCUGUAUUGUGUACCACUUGGUCACAUUAAGUUUUGAAUCUUUUCACAUAUCACGCAGUUUGUUCUAAACUCCACCAGAGGGCUGCUCUGAAUUUAUUGGAGUGUGUUCAUGGUAAACAUGAG